CAAUAGCGUAUAUUAAAUUUGUUGCGGCUAAACAGCUCGUAGUUGGAUUUCUGCUGAGGUCGACCGGUCCGCCUUCCGGGUGGGCAUCUGGUUCGGCUUUGGUAGCUUCUUGGCGAACGUAUCUGCACUUGACUGUGUGGUGCGGUGCCCAGGGCGCUUACUGUGAAGGAAUUCUGGUGUUUCAAGCAGGCAGACGCCUUGAAUACAUUAGCAUGGGAGGAUAAGAUGGGACCUCGGUUCUAUUUUGUUGGUUUCUAAAGCUGAGGUAGUGAUUAAUAUGGAUAGUUGGGGGCGAUUCGCCUUUAACCAUCAGAGGUGGGAUUCUUGGAUUUGCUGAAGACUGCCUACCUGCCAAAGCAUUUGCCACGGAUGUGUCCAUUGACUAAGAACGAACGUUAGGGGAGUCAAAGACGAUCAGAUACCGU
This 425-nucleotide ribosomal RNA is filed under the name uncultured eukaryote. RNAcentral describes it as "bacterial SSU rRNA". It matches the Rfam family "Eukaryotic small subunit ribosomal RNA", at positions 592 to 1018 of the family's 1831-position model. The record is from RNAcentral.